This 301-nucleotide ribosomal RNA is filed under the name uncultured bacterium. RNAcentral describes it as "partial 16S ribosomal RNA". It matches the Rfam family "Bacterial small subunit ribosomal RNA", at positions 509 to 808 of the family's 1533-position model. The record is from RNAcentral.
CAGUCGCCACGGUAAUACGAAGGGUGCAAGCGUUACUCGGAAUUACUGGGCGUAAAGCGUGCGUAGGUGGUGGUUUAAGUCCGUUGUGAAAGCCCUGGGCUCAACCUGGGAAUUGCAGUGGAUACUGGGUCACUAGAGUGUGGUAGAGGAUAGUGGAAUUUCCGGUGUAGCAGUGAAAUGCGUAGAGAUCGGAAGGAACAUCUGUGGCGAAGGCGACUAUCUGGGCCAACACUGACACUGAGGCACGAAAGCGUGGGGAGCAAACAGGAUUAGAUACCCCCGUGUCCCUGUCUCUUAUACA